UACGAAGGGGGCUAGCGUUGUUCGGAAUUACUGGGCGUAAAGCGCGCGCAGGCGGUCUUCCAAGUCAGUGGUGAAAGCCCGGAGCUCAACUCCGGAACUGCCAUUGAAACUGUUAGACUUGAGGACGAGAGAGGUGAGUGGAAUUCCCAGUGUAGAGGUGAAAUUCGUAGAUAUUGGGAAGAACACCGGUGGCGAAGGCGGCUCACUGGCUCGUAUCUGACGCUCAGGCGCGACAGCGUGGGGAGCAAACAGG
Molecule: ribosomal RNA, 253 nt
Filed under: uncultured bacterium
Lineage: Bacteria
Description: partial 16S ribosomal RNA
Rfam family: Bacterial small subunit ribosomal RNA
Source: RNAcentral